Mustela putorius furo (domestic ferret) is the source of this 96-nucleotide unclassified non-coding RNA. It matches the Rfam family "Y RNA". Rfam says of the family: Y RNAs are components of the Ro ribonucleoprotein particle (Ro RNP), in association with Ro60 and La proteins. The Y RNAs and Ro60 and La proteins are well conserved, but the function of the Ro RNP is not known. In humans the RNA component can be one of four small RNAs -- hY1, hY3, hY4 and hY5. Lineage: Eukaryota; Metazoa; Chordata; Mammalia; Carnivora; Mustelidae. The record is from Ensembl.
GGCUGGUCCGAUGGCAGUGGGUUAACAGAACUCACUACCGUUAGUGUCACUGAAGUUGGUAUAGGAGCCCCCACUGCUAAACUGGGCUGGCUUCCA